RNAcentral lists this unclassified non-coding RNA (348 nucleotides) under soil metagenome. RNAcentral describes it as "partial contains 5.8S ribosomal RNA, internal transcribed spacer 2, and large subunit ribosomal RNA". The stretch from base 1 to 120 matches the Rfam family "5.8S ribosomal RNA", at positions 35 to 154 of the family's 154-position model. The record is from RNAcentral.
GAUGAAGAACGCAGCGAAAUGCGAUAAGUAAUGCGAAUUGCAGAAUUCAGUGAAUCAUCGAAUCUUUGAACGCACAUUGCGCCCGCCAGUAUUCUGGCGGGCAUGCCUGUCUGAGCGUCAUUUCAACCCUCAUGCCCCUAGGGCGUGGUGUUGGGGAUCGGCCAAAGCCCGCGAGGGACGGCCGGCCCCUAAAUCUAGUGGCGGACCCGUCGUGGCCUCCUCUGCGAAGUAGUGAUAUUCCGCAUCGGAGAGCGAUGAGCCCCUGCCGUUAAACCCCCAACUUUCCAAGGUUGACCUCAGAUCAGGUAGGAAUACCCGCUGAACUUAAGCAUAUCAAUAAGCGGAGGA